AAGAUUUUAAGUUAAUUAAACUAUUAACCUUCAAAGUUAAAAUUAUCUAAGAUGAUAAAUCUUA
This 64-nucleotide transfer RNA is filed under the name Iassus dorsalis. RNAcentral describes it as "tRNA-Trp". RNAcentral also lists the same sequence under 1 other name. The record is from RNAcentral. Lineage: Eukaryota; Metazoa; Arthropoda; Insecta; Hemiptera; Cicadellidae.